Molecule: transfer RNA, 73 nt
Filed under: Stegodyphus mimosarum
Lineage: Eukaryota; Metazoa; Arthropoda; Arachnida; Araneae; Eresidae
Rfam family: tRNA
About the family: Transfer RNA (tRNA) molecules are approximately 80 nucleotides in length.
Source: Rfam by way of RNAcentral
GCAUUCGUGGUGCAGUAGUCAGCACGCUCGGUGCGUAUUCGAGAGGUCCGUGGUUCAAAUCCCGGCGAGAGCA